This 376-nucleotide ribosomal RNA is filed under the name uncultured organism. RNAcentral describes it as "partial 16S ribosomal RNA". It matches the Rfam family "Bacterial small subunit ribosomal RNA", at positions 527 to 897 of the family's 1533-position model. The record is from RNAcentral.
GUAGGUGGCAAGCGUUGUCCGGGAGUUAUUGGGGCGUAAAGCGCGCGCAGGCGGUUCUUUAAGUCUGAUGUGAAAGCCCACGGGCUCAACCGUGGAGGGUCAUUGGAAACUGGAGAACUUGAGUACAGAAGAGGAAAGCGGAAUUCCACGUGUAGCGGUGAAAUGCGUAGAGAUGUGGAGGAACACCAGUGGCGAAGGCGGCUUUCUGGUCUGUAACUGACGCUGAGGCGCGAAAGCGUGGGGAGCAAACAGGAUUAGAUACCCUGGUAGUCCACGCCGUAAACGAUGAGUGCUAAGUGUUAGGGGGUUUCCGCCCCUUAGUGCUGCAGCUAACGCAUUAAGCACUCCGCCUGGGGAGUACGGCCGCAAAGGCUGA